UCUGAAUUGGCAGAUUUAAUGCAGUAGGCUUAGAACCUGAAGAUACCAAGGUAUUCAGAA
RNAcentral lists this transfer RNA (60 nucleotides) under Epipenaeon fissurae. RNAcentral's name for it is "tRNA-Leu". Lineage: Eukaryota; Metazoa; Arthropoda; Malacostraca; Isopoda; Bopyridae. The record is from RNAcentral.